CCAUGCAUGUCUCAGUGCAAGCCGAACUAAGGUGAAACCGCGAAUGGCUCAUUAAAUCAGUUAUGGUUCCUUAGAUCGUACCAAAUUACUUGGAUAACUGUGGUAAUUCUAGAGCUAAUACAUGCAAACAGAGUCCCGACCAGAAAUGGAAGGGACGCUUUUAUUAGAUCAAAACCAAUCGGUCGGCUCGUCCGGUCCGUUUGCCUUGGUGACUCUGAAUAACUUUGGGCUGAUCGCACGGUCCUGGUACCGGCGACGCAUCUUUCAAAUGUCUGCCUUAUCAACUGUCGAUGGUAGGUUCUGCGCCUACCAUGGUUGUAACGGGUAACGGGGAAUCAGGGUUCGAUUCCGGAGAGGGAGCCUGAGAAACGGCUACCACAUCCAAGGAAGGCAGCAGGCGCGCAAAUUACCCACUCCCGGCACGGGGAGGUAGUGACGAAAAAUAACGAUACGGGACUCAUCCGAGGCCCCGUAAUCGGAAUGAAUACACUUUAAAUCCUUUAAUGAGUAUCCAUUGGAGGGCAAGUCUGGUGCCAGCAGCCGCGGUAAUUCCAGCUCCAAUAGCGUAUAUUAAAGUUGUUGCGGUUAAAAAGCUCGUAGUUGGAUUUGUGUCCCACGCUGUCGGUUCAUCGCUCGUCGGUGUCUAACUGGCAUGAUUCGUGGGACGUCCUGCCGGUGGUGGCGAGUCGAAAGCGUGCACCCGUUGUGGUUUCCACUUCGGUUCUUGCGCGCCGUAGGCGGACCCCGAUGAAAUCCUACCGCGGUGCUCUUCGCCGAGUGUCGAGGUGGGCCGGCACGUUUACUUUGAACAAAUUAGAGUGCUUAAAGCANGCCUGUUGCGCCUGAAUACUGUGUGCAUGGAAUAAUGGAAUAGGACCUCGGUUCUAUUUUGUUGGUUUUCGGAACCCGAGGUAAUGAUUAAUAGGGACAGGCGGGGGCAUUCGUAUUGCGACGUUAGAGUGAAAUUCUUGGAAUCGUCGCAAGACGGACCGAAGCGAAAGCAUUUGCCAAGUAUGUUUUCAUUAAUCAAGAACGAAAGUUUAGAGUU
RNAcentral lists this ribosomal RNA (1048 nucleotides) under Sinochlora longifissa. RNAcentral describes it as "SSU rRNA". It matches the Rfam family "Eukaryotic small subunit ribosomal RNA", at positions 49 to 998 of the family's 1831-position model. Lineage: Eukaryota; Metazoa; Arthropoda; Insecta; Orthoptera; Tettigoniidae. The record is from RNAcentral.